This is a non-coding RNA of Erinaceus europaeus (western European hedgehog), 107 nucleotides long. The record is from Rfam. Lineage: Eukaryota; Metazoa; Chordata; Mammalia; Eulipotyphla; Erinaceidae.
GUGCUCACUUCGGUAGUACAUACACUAAAAUUGGAAUGAUGCAGACAGGAUUGGCAUGGCCCCUGCAGAAGGAUGACACACAAAUUCAUGAAGUGUUCCAUAUUAAA